GGAGUUAGGAAAUGUAGGUACGCUAAUAUCGUAUCUAUUUGACAAAGGCUCCAAAGGAAGCCACGGCUAACUCUGUGCCAGCAGCCGCGGUAAUACAGAGGUGGCAAGCGUUGUUCGGAAUUAUUGGGCGUAAAGAGCACGUAGGUGGAUUUGUAAGUCAGAUGUGAAAGCCUUCUGUUCAACGGGAGAAUUGCAUCUGAAACUACAGACCUUGAGUAUAGGAGGGGAGAGUGGAACUUCUGGU
This 244-nucleotide ribosomal RNA is filed under the name uncultured anaerobic ammonium-oxidizing bacterium. Its description in RNAcentral is "partial 16S ribosomal RNA". It matches the Rfam family "Bacterial small subunit ribosomal RNA", at positions 439 to 674 of the family's 1533-position model. The record is from RNAcentral.